UACGUAGGGGGCAAGCGUUGUCCGGAUUUAUUGGGCGUAAAGAGCGUGUAGGCGGCCUGACAGGUCUGCUGUGAAACUCGAGGCUCAACCUCGAGAUGUCGGCGGAAACCGUCUGGCUAGAGUCCGGAAGAGGAGAAUGGAAUUCCGUGGUGUAGCGGUGAAAUGCGCAGAUAUCAGGAAGAACACCCGUGGCUAAGGCGGUUCUCUAGUACGGUACUGACGCUGAGACGCGAAAGCGUGGGGAGCGAACAGG
Molecule: ribosomal RNA, 253 nt
Filed under: uncultured bacterium
Lineage: Bacteria
Description: partial 16S ribosomal RNA
Rfam family: Bacterial small subunit ribosomal RNA
Source: RNAcentral